This 206-nucleotide ribosomal RNA is filed under the name uncultured bacterium. RNAcentral's name for it is "partial 16S ribosomal RNA". It matches the Rfam family "Bacterial small subunit ribosomal RNA", at positions 568 to 774 of the family's 1533-position model. The record is from RNAcentral.
CGCGCAGGCGGCUGUUCAAGUCCGAUGUGAAAGCUUCCGGCUUAACUGGAAAACGGCAUCGGAUACUGGACGGCUGGAAGGUGGGAGAGGGUAGCGGAAUUCCCGGUGCAGUGGUGAAAUGCGUAGAUAUCGGGAGAAACACCAGUGGCGAAAGCGGCUACCUGGCCCACUCUUGACGCUGAGGCGCGAAAGCUAGGGAGCAAACG